Long non-coding RNA from Cyprinus carpio (common carp), 825 nucleotides. RefSeq lists it as uncharacterized. The transcript is spliced from 5 exons. Lineage: Eukaryota; Metazoa; Chordata; Actinopteri; Cypriniformes; Cyprinidae. The record is from RefSeq and is a predicted model, not a curated record.
UCCCUCCGCGCGUGAACUUUCCGUGCACCGGGAAUCUAUUCCUCUCAAUCUAAAGGGAAUCCGCGGUCUGGACGCUGCCGAGCAGGGCUGCUGUCUCCUGAGGUAUUGCCCCAUUACCUGAGGGUAUCGGUGAGCUUUCCAGACAGACGAUUAGUGGCAUUAGUCUCGUGGCACGGCGGAUCUUACACGGGCUCAGGGAUAUCAGAGAAGUUUCCUGCAUGGCUUAAUGAGAUUUUCCCACUCAUCUUCCUCUGGGGCGGCAAACUGUAAGAUAUAUUGAGACCAACGAUAGGAAGACAAGACAAGAGAAGAGAAGAGAACAGGGCCAGAAGACAACAGAAUCUGGACUCAAAUUCACCUCGAGACGUCUCCACCUGAGCUCUAUGUUAAUGCACCAAAUUGCUUCAAUCCUUUACAACACAACCAAACAACCUGCAGAUCUUCUCCUCUCAUCUGGCUUUUCUCUCACCUCGCCCUGAUCUGAGUUCAGGCCACUGGUGAGAUUUAGCAUUAACGUGCUUCUUCAUGUGAAGUUAGGAGGACGUUCUCAAACCUCUUGUACUGGUCUGGGCAGCUCUCGGUAUGCCAAGCAUCAAUAUCACUGUUUCUCAUUCUUAUUGUUCAAAUCCCUAACACUAAUAACAUUUUGUGCUACAGACACAGAUGAUUCCUCAAAUCACGCUGCUGUUGGAACUGAACUGAGAAUGCAUUUUAAAUUGCAGUUGAAUUCUUGAAUUGGAAACAGGAUGCAGAAUUGCAAUUUGAAUGCAAGGAAGUAAAAAUAAACUGAAAUUAAACUAAUGUAAAUUUAUGUCAUUUUUAAAU